RNAcentral lists this long non-coding RNA (280 nucleotides) under Lathyrus oleraceus (garden pea). RNAcentral describes it as "Pisum sativum (pea) long non-coding RNA (PSAT_LNC031530)". The record is from RNAcentral. Lineage: Eukaryota; Viridiplantae; Streptophyta; Magnoliopsida; Fabales; Fabaceae.
AAGAGAGAGAUCAAGGUGAUCAAAUGAAGUCAAAUUCCUCUCAAGUCUUUUAGAAGACUAUCCUUGAGCUUAUCAUUCUUCUAAGCAUCAAUGGAGUCAAGGUCAAAGCAAAAGUUGGCUCAAAAGAUCAAAAGGAUAGGAAACUAGGUUUUACAAACCACACAAACUUAUAUGCUUAAGGUAAAAGCCAAAUGAUCAACUUUAAAAUUUCCAACAAUUGAAAAUAAGUUGACAUACCAAUUAAGUAUCCAAAUAAUCAUAACAUACCCAAAAAUAAGCC